Molecule: ribosomal RNA, 568 nt
Filed under: uncultured bacterium
Lineage: Bacteria
Description: partial 16S ribosomal RNA
Rfam family: Bacterial small subunit ribosomal RNA
Source: RNAcentral
UGGGGAAUUUUGGACAAUGGGCGCAAGCCUGAUCCAGCCAUGCCGCGUGCGGGAAGAAGGCCUUCGGGUUGUAAACCGCUUUUGUCAGGGAAGAAAUCUUCUGAGUUAAUACCUCGGGAGGAUGACGGUACCUGAAGAAUAAGCACCGGCUAACUACGUGCCAGCAGCCGCGGUAAUACGUAGGGUGCAAGCGUUAAUCGGAAUUACUGGGCGUAAAGCGUGCGCAGGCGGUUUUGUAAGACAGAGGUGAAAUCCCCGGGCUCAACCUGGGAACUGCCUUUGUGACUGCAAGGCUUGAGUGCGGCAGAGGGGGAUGGAAUUCCGCGUGUAGCAGUGAAAUGCGUAGAUAUGCGGAGGAACACCGAUGGCGAAGGCAAUCCCCUGGGCCUGCACUGACGCUCAUGCACGAAAGCGUGGGGAGCAAAACAGGAUUAGAUACCCCUGGUAGUCCACGCCCUAAACGAUGUCAACUGGUUGUUGGGAAGGUUCCUUCUCAGUAACGUAGCUAACGCGUGAAGUUGACCGCCUGGGGAGUACGGCCGCAAGGUUGAAACUCAAAUGAAUUGAC